This 1400-nucleotide long non-coding RNA is filed under the name Ficedula albicollis (Collared flycatcher). RNAcentral's name for it is "lncRNA (ENSFALG00000022946.1)". The record is from RNAcentral. Lineage: Eukaryota; Metazoa; Chordata; Aves; Passeriformes; Muscicapidae.
ACUCCAUCCUGAUGACUUUGGCAUUUGUGUGAAACCACAGAGUGGUAGAUGCAAGAGGCAGGAUUGCAAGCUCUGAAGUUGUGGCAGCUUCUGGAGUCUUUCCACUCUGGUUGUGGAAAACCCUGGUCUAAUGAGGCUGCACAAGACCAAAUGCAUCCCCCAUCUUGGUCCCCUGGGUCAUCAGAGCACUUCUUUGCUUUGUUCCUCCUGAUGUUUAAUCCAACCUGCUGUGCAAAGGAGGCUGCUCUAAUUGUGUUUGCUUCCUACACAAAUUUCUGGGGUAAACAAAGGUUUUGCCACACUUUUCACUAUGCUAGAAGUUUUAUCAAAACACUUCCUCAACUAAUGACUUUUUCUCCCCCAAAAAUUUGGGUCCAGCUGUUCAUUUAACAAAUAACGGUGUUGCUCUUUUCUUUUAGCACCCUCUAAUAAACCAAGAGUAAAUUACUGACUGACCUACUUACUGGGAUUGUUUAAAUAAUCCUCAAUAUGGCAGUAUAAUUUGAUGCCUUAAAAUACAGGGCAUACAAGCUGCAAUUUGAAAGAAGAAAUACUGGAUGUUAAUACAAGUGGGUAACAUAAUAGCCUGAGGAAUAUUAUGUUUCAUAUCUAAGGUUCCCCUCCCUUCAGCAACAGCAUUUUGUUCUCCCCUCUUGUACAUGAACUAAUUCCUGAAUUUCUGAAUGAAUAUUUCACCCAUCUCUGAAUGGUCUGGAGCUAAAUUAAGAGAUGUGUUUUCUAUCUUUAAUAGGUAGGAUGUUUAGAAGGGAGAACAAAACACACGCUUGCAUUAUACCAUCUCUUGCUUUGGGCAUUCCUUGUGCAUCUCUGAGCAUUUAUCAGUGAUAGCCCAUUUAAAGAAGAAGAAAAAUAUUUCAGGAGCAGGGGGAAUCACUAAGAUACUAAAUUUUCCUUCUUAAAAAGGUGAUGGAAAUGUUUCAAAGUCAACAGUCAGGCAGUUAUCUUCCUGAUUUAGCAAAAUAUUGUACUUUAUUCUACCUAAAAAGCAUUUUGUGUUACAGAUUCAUGCUUUAGCACUGACUCUCAAUUUCAUUAGAUCCAGAAUGUGUAUAAGUUAUAAGUCUAUAACCAUAUUUAUCUGUUGGGGAUUAUUUCACAGAAUCACAGAAUGGGUCAGGUUGGAAGAGACCACAGUGCUGUGAUCCAACUUCCCUGUUCAAGCAGGGCCAUCCUAGAGCAUAGAGCACAGGAUUGUGUCCAGUUAGAUCCUGAAUAUCUCCAGUUAGGGACAUUCCACACCCCCUCUGGGCAAUCCAGUGCACGAUCACCCACACAGUAAAGAAGUUCUUCCUUGUGUUCAGAUGAAACUUCCUGUGCAUCAGUUUCUGCCCACUGCUUCUUGUUCUAUUGCUUGGCUCCCUCCUCUUGGUACCCUCACU